CAUCAAAAAUUUAUUUUAGUGCAGCAUUGUUAUUGUAUACCCAUUUGUUCCAUUUUUUCAUUCAUUUCUCCAUUCACCCAUCCAGUAAUUUAUUUAUCAAAUAGUUAAUGAACCUGAUACAUUUCAGACACUGUGGUAGGUAGCAGGGAUACAAAGCUGAAUAAAUCACAUUCCUUCAUUCAAAGAGAGAAAAACUCUAGAGACAUACUAUUCAAGUAAAUUUAUUUUAACAGGGAAAAGGAGGCAGAUUGCAUUAUUGUUUGCAAAUAUUCAUUCAGCUUUUUAAUAAAAAGAUUGGUCUUCCUUACCUAGUGAGUGCUUCCUCCCACUGCUGUUGAAUUGAUCCAGUUGACUUGCUUUGUCAGAUGCCAUGUGACUAUAUGUCAUGAGCACUAAAUUCAAGAAGCAACCAUAAAUGGUAUUUAAUGUUUCUGCUGAUUUUUUUCUUUUUCUCUUGCUAUAGGGAUGUUAAGGUCAAAAAGGGGCUUGUUUCAGUUCAAUCUGAAUCUCAGCAUGGAUAAGAAGGCAGAAUUAUUGUGUUGUGGCCUAGACACAUUUGCUGAAGUUUCUAUAUGAAGAAACUAAGGUAAGGUCUCUGAAACCAUUCCAGUUGGUACUAUAGAUGAUUAUUCCAGAAAGAACUGUAGUUUCACUGUUUAUGCAUGUUAGCAGAACAAGCAGGAAUGGAAGAUAAUCCAUAUAGUGGUAUUAUUGGAAUCGCAUGAAUCUCUAUAGUCUUUCAUGCUAUGCAGUUUCAAAGAUGUAUUAUUAUGAUCAUUUUUCUCAGUUUGGCUCUCUAUGAUAUUUAGCAUUGCUGUUAUCACUAAUAUGUAGACUCACUACAUUCUGCCUAUGGAACCAUAUUGUAUUCCUGGCAUUUGUCUUAAAUAAUCUCUAGGAGCUGGUUUUGUGGCAUGGUGGGUAAAGCUUCUGGCUGCAGUGCUGGCAACCCAUGUGGGCAUAGGUUUGAGGCCUGGAUGCUCCACU
This 987-nucleotide long non-coding RNA is filed under the name Oryctolagus cuniculus (rabbit). RNAcentral's name for it is "lncRNA (ENSOCUG00000036424.1)". The record is from RNAcentral. Lineage: Eukaryota; Metazoa; Chordata; Mammalia; Lagomorpha; Leporidae.